Sander lucioperca (pikeperch) is the source of this 660-nucleotide long non-coding RNA. RefSeq lists it as uncharacterized. NCBI's taxonomy places the organism in Eukaryota, Metazoa, Chordata, Actinopteri, Perciformes, Percidae. The transcript is spliced from 2 exons. The record is from RefSeq and is a predicted model, not a curated record.
UUUUCUCCCCACUUCCUGCCUGUCAAGGUAUUGGAUAUGGAUAAUACAGGUAGACUUGACAUACUGCUGAAUCAGCACUGUGUGACAUCCGUUCUGCACUCUAGCUUUAACAAUUUGCGUCACCAAGGGUGAAAUGGGAAUGGGUAUGGAAUGAUAUGGGAAGCCAGAGAGGCCAAAAACUCUCACCCACUCCCGUCUGUCCAUUUGGCUGCAGUAAAAAAAACACCUGGACAAACACUCUCUCAGUACAAAUUCUCCUUUUAAUGAUUUCCAGGAUGAUACAGAAUUUAAAUGGAAAUAUAAAAAGUAACAGGCAUCCAUCAAAGUAGAACAGAGGAAUCAAUAGUGCUUGAACUUUAUGCCUUGAACAUCAUAAUGUACGAUUUAUUUUUUACAGUUGACCUAAAUCUCGCUGCAAAGGUUUGGGAAGAACUUUCUAAAGGGCCGUUUAAAAACCCAAGAGUUUGUAAGGACAAAUGUAGGAUUAAAGAUGGCUGGUCUUUACUGGCCUCAUUGAAAGACGUUGGCUCACAGACAGACACAGUCAGCGUAGUUUGGCAUUGGGUCAAUGACUGACGGUGGAUGAAUUAAUAAAGCAUCUUUCUGUGCGGUAAAUACUCUAUAAAAGGUGCAUAAAGAGAGAGGGAUAGGUAAAUGAAA